UGGGGAAUUUUCCGCAAUGGGCGAGAGCCUGACGGAGCAACGCCGCGUGAGGGAGGAAGGCCUGUGGGUUGUAAACCUCUUUUCUCAGGGAAGAAGGUCUGACGGUACCUGAGGAAUCAGCAUCGGCUAACUCCGUGCCAGCAGCCGCGGUAAGACGGAGGAUGCAAGCGUUAUCCGGAAUUAUUGGGCGUAAAGCGUCCGUAGGUGGUUAAGCAAGUCUGCUGUUAAAGACCACAGCUCAACUGUGGGACGGCAGUGGAAACUGCGUGACUAGAGUAUGGUAGGGGUAGAGGGAAUUCCUAGUGUAGCGGUGAAAUGCGUAGAUAUUAGGAAGAACACCAGUGGCGAAGGCGCUCUACUGGGCCAUGACUGACACUGAUGGACGAAAGCUAGGGGAGCGAAAGGGAUUAGAUACCCCCGUAGUCC
RNAcentral lists this ribosomal RNA (426 nucleotides) under uncultured prokaryote. RNAcentral's name for it is "bacterial SSU rRNA". It matches the Rfam family "Bacterial small subunit ribosomal RNA", at positions 355 to 796 of the family's 1533-position model. The record is from RNAcentral.